Molecule: ribosomal RNA, 567 nt
Filed under: uncultured bacterium
Lineage: Bacteria
Description: bacterial SSU rRNA
Rfam family: Bacterial small subunit ribosomal RNA
Source: RNAcentral
CCUACGGGAGGCAGCAGUGGGGAAUAUUGCGCAAUGGGGGAAACCCUGACGCAGCGACGCCGCGUGCGGGAUGAAGGCCUUCGGGUUGUAAACCGCUUUCACCAGGGACGAAGCGAGAGUGACGGUACCUGGGGAAGAAGCGCCGGCUAACUACGUGCCAGCAGCCGCGGUAAUACGUAGGGCGCGAGCGUUGUCCGGAAUUAUUGGGCGUAAAGAGCUCGUAGGCGGCCGGUUGCGUCUGCUGUGAAAUCCCGGGGCUUAACCCCGGGCGUGCAGUGGAUACGGGCCGGCUGGAGGCAGGCAGGGGAGAAUGGAAUUCCCGGUGUAGCGGUGAAAUGCGCAGAUAUCGGGAGGAACACCGGUGGCGAAGGCGGUUCUCUGGGCCUGUACUGACGCUGAGGAGCGAAAGCGUGGGGAGCGAACAGGAUUAGAUACCCUGGUAGUCCACGCCGUAAACGUUGGGCGCUAGGUGUGGGGUCCUUCCACGGGCUCUGUGCCGCAGCUAACGCAUUAAGCGCCCCGCCUGGGGAGUACGGCCGCAAGGCUAAAACUCAAAGGAAUUGACGG